Schizosaccharomyces pombe (fission yeast) is the source of this 623-nucleotide non-coding RNA. The record is from the annotation of a GenBank genome assembly. NCBI's taxonomy places the organism in Eukaryota, Fungi, Ascomycota, Schizosaccharomycetes, Schizosaccharomycetales, Schizosaccharomycetaceae.
UCCUGAUGACAAAAAAUGACAUAGUCUAAUAAAGCUUUACUCACACCCAAGCUGAGCGGUACUUGAGAAUCUAAUUCGGCACAACGAUUGCUAAUUGUAGUUCUUUCAUUGUCUUUCAAUAUUAGCAAUUGUCCGUCCAAGGUUUUCUGUUGUCGAGUAGUUUUUUUAACAGAUAAUUGUAAUGAUCUGGUACAGAUCAUCUUAACUUGGUUCGUAUUUCGAAACGCCAAUUUGACCUGAGCAAGGACCUCUUUUUCACCGCAUAUCUAACAGGUUAGGCUAACGUAAACAUUAAUUUACUGCACUUACUUUUGGAUCAUGAAUGAAGGCUCCACCUUUUGUAUUUGGGGGGAGUAUUCCUGUUGUUGCGUACUUUAAGCAUUCAAUUAUUGUCUUUUAGAUUAACAUUUGUUUAAAUAUGAAAUUAGGCAAUGUAACAUACAGUCUUUCCAGACCCAUUUUGUCCUACUAUUAGCGUUAAUGGGGAGAAAAAUUGAAUGCUUUCUCGUGAACGAUUGUCAAACGACCGUAUGCCCAUGAUGGACAUUCUGUCAAUGCACGACAUUUUAAAUUACUUAAACUGAACACACUUUCUUUAAUUUUAAGGAUUUACAACUGUAUAG